GACGAACGCUGGCGGCGUGCUUAACACACGCAAGUCGAACGGAAAGGCCCUGCUUUCGUGGGGUGUUCGAGUGGCGAACGGGUGAGUAACACGUGAGUAACCUGCCCUUGACUUUGGGAUAACUUCAGGAAACUGGGGCUAAUACCGGAUAGGAGCUCCUGCUGCAUGGUGGGGGUUGGAACGUUUCGGCGGUUGGGGAUGGACUCGCGGCUUAUCAGCUUGUUGGUGGGGUAGUGGCUUACCAAGGCUUUGACGGGUAGCCGGCCUGAGAGGGUGACCGGCGACAUUGGGACUGAGAUAGGGCCCAGACUCCUACGGGAGGCAGAAGUGGGGAGUAUUGCACAGUGGGCGGAAGCCUGAUGCAGCAACGCCGCGUGCGGGAUGACGGCCUUGGGGGUGUAAACCGCUUUCGCCUGUGACGAAGCGUGAGUGACGGUAAUGGGUGAAGAAGCACCGGCUAACUACGUG
This 468-nucleotide ribosomal RNA is filed under the name uncultured bacterium. Its description in RNAcentral is "partial 16S ribosomal RNA". It matches the Rfam family "Bacterial small subunit ribosomal RNA", at positions 28 to 507 of the family's 1533-position model. The record is from RNAcentral.